This 1147-nucleotide long non-coding RNA is filed under the name Homo sapiens (human). RNAcentral describes it as "HSALNT0379341". The record is from RNAcentral. Lineage: Eukaryota; Metazoa; Chordata; Mammalia; Primates; Hominidae.
AGGAGUAUGCGUGUCAGAAGCCAGGGGUGAUUGUGUUUUUUCUCCUUCCUCUUUCUUUAGGUCAGGAAGAUUCCUGCAGCUGCUGAGUUAGUACUUUUAAGAAAGUACUGGAUUCCCUCUCACAAUGGGACUUUGAUUUUUUUAAGAAAAAGGUUUCAUAAGUUUUCAAAUAACCUGGAGCAGUUGAGCAAACUUAAUGUGCAGCGUGGUCCCUGCUGGCUGGGUUUGAGGGGCUGGGUCUCUCUGAGUGGAUGCUGGUGAGGUGCAGAGGAAGAAGAAAAGGUGCCUGAGGGCCUGUGUGGAAGGCCUGUCACACAGCACAUCCUGGGAAAUCUGUCCAGGAAGCAGCCAGGCGGGCAUCAGCCAGGCGGGCAUCAGCAUCUUCACUGUGCAGAUGAGAAACUGAGGCCGCAGAGGUGAAGGGACAUGCCCAGGAUCACUAAGCAGCGUUUCAGCAUCUCUAUAAAACCCUCACAGGUGAUCCCUAGAAACACAGCCAGUGGCCCGGAAGCUGCACUGUUUUGUGCACCGCAGGGAUGGGCACAGAUGGGGCUGCCUGCCCUCCUCCUGGAAGGAGGGAGAACCCAGUCUGGCCUGGAGUGGUCAAGAGCUAACUCUAGACUCAGCAAGACCUACUUCUCUCUCCUGCCCCUACUUCCUUGCUGCUGACCUGGGCAAGUCGCUGAAGCCUCUCCGUGCCUCAGUCUGCUCGUGCGUAAGAUGGGCACAGGGCACACUGCCUACUUGAUUGGGCUCAACCACGUGCAGUAAGUAGCUGGUGUCUGGCAAGAGCCCUCAGGAAACAGUAACCCCAUUAAUUCAAAUGCACGUGCCUGGAACAGGCUCUGGGGGGCCAGCCCGGGAGUCCCACUCCAUGAUGGCCACCCUGGGGCCUGGCAGGCUGGGCUGGCAUCCCAGGCCCACCGGAUACUGGCUGUGCACCCCGGCCAGGCCACACAUCUCUGAGCCUCACUUUCCCGUGUGUGAGAUGAGGCUAGAAGCUGCUUUCUCUUGCGUGUGUGGGGAUUGGCGGUGACAACACGGCCAGGAGCCCAGGCCCAGCCUACGCGAGCAGCCUCGCUCCAGGCCACACGCCCCACUCCUGACAGCUCUGUGCAGCGAGUUCGUGCGCCCGUGUCAGCGUUUG